AGCUUUCUGAAUCCGUGUCGAGAUUUCGCCAGACACCAGCCCAUCGGGACUGAUGGGACUCCCAGGAUAAGUGAAGCG
This is a non-coding RNA of Schistosoma haematobium, 78 nucleotides long. The record is from Rfam. NCBI's taxonomy places the organism in Eukaryota, Metazoa, Platyhelminthes, Trematoda, Strigeidida, Schistosomatidae.